Molecule: transfer RNA, 77 nt
Filed under: Campylobacter jejuni
Lineage: Bacteria; Pseudomonadati; Campylobacterota; Epsilonproteobacteria; Campylobacterales; Campylobacteraceae
Also listed under: 1458 other names
Description: tRNA-Pro
Rfam family: tRNA
About the family: Transfer RNA (tRNA) molecules are approximately 80 nucleotides in length. Their secondary structure includes four short double-helical elements and three loops (D, anti-codon, and T loops).
Source: RNAcentral
CGGGAAGUAGCUCAGCUUGGUAGAGCACUUGGUUUGGGACCAAGGGGUCGCAGGUUCGAAUCCUGUCUUCCCGACCA